RNAcentral lists this long non-coding RNA (5910 nucleotides) under Heterocephalus glaber (naked mole-rat). Its description in RNAcentral is "lncRNA (ENSHGLG00000035356.1)". Lineage: Eukaryota; Metazoa; Chordata; Mammalia; Rodentia; Bathyergidae. The record is from RNAcentral.
GAUUGCCUAAAAUCACCCUGAGGCAGACUUUUUCCCUAAAUCCUAAGUAAGGGCUGGGAUUAUUGCUCAGUGGCAGAGCGUUUGCUUGGCAUGUGCAAGGCCCUGGGCUUAAUACCCAGCAAAGGAAACAAUUCCUGGCCCAGUUCUUAGACUAGCCCCCAGUUCUUUGACUCUCAUAUUUCUGUUUUCUCCAGGGAUUCGGAUUGUGAAACUCCUGUCCCUGUGAUGAUUUUUGACCCUUGCUUUCCAGUCUGCCUGGAAAUUACUCCCUGUUAAUUUGCACCUUGACCAUGACCUAUGCUACCUUCUCCCAGACCCUGCUUUGUUCCAUCUGCUGGAUUUCCAUUGUCAGGGUCCUGCCCAGGACUAACCUCUGCUCAUGAACAUCUUCUGGAAUGACUGUCUUGGCACUGACCCACUCACCAUACUGACUAUGGUGAGGCGAGGCACCAUGUUGGAGAGCUCCCUUGGGAAAGAGCUGGAGGCUGAAUGAUCUACAUGGAAUGGCCAGACUCAGGAGGUCAUACCUGGCACCAAAAGAAUAAGUUAAUAAGUAAAAAUCUUAGAUAAAAUAAAGAAAGAGCAGGAAGAAAAAUCUGUCUCAUUCUACAAUCCACCAAUUUUUCCUGAGAUUAUUUGUCAGCUCUAAGGUCACUGACAGGCAGUACAUGGACUGAGUCAUUGGUACCUGCUUCACAGAUGUGGUGGGCAAAGAUAUCCUGUGAAUGUGGGAGUUAAUCAUAGUGCUUCCGUUGCUCCCUUUGGCAAUUCUGAGGAGCUACGAGGAUCCUGAUUUGUUCGCUGCAGUUUUAAAUGACAGUGUGUGGGAAACAAAUCAAGGAGUUCUGAGUCUGGUGGAGCUGCAGCUAGGGGCCUGUUCGUACAACCUCCAUGUCCUCAUCUGUAAAGUGAAGGACAAGAAGCAUCUGCAGUCCAAGGCCCCUUCUGGACUCCUGGUUUGAGAGCAGGUGGUGUCUGUGAGCCUAGACCAUGGAACUGGUGUUUAGUGGUGAAGCCGAUAAUUCUCCCACUUGCUUAAAAGAUUGAGCCGAGACAAGAGAUUUUUACCUGACUGUGUCUUCUGCCAGAAGCCAGAGAAAUGCACAAUCUUGGAACGCUGAGACGUGGAUACCGCAUGUCUAAUGGAUGGAAUCUUUUUUUGUCUGGGGUAGAAAUAUACAACUAUUGACUGUGUUACGCAUAUGGAGUAAAACUGAUUGCAGGUGGUAAGUUUGUGUGUACUUUAAGAAAAACAUUGAUUACUUAUACAUAUCCUGGUAAAUGUAACUCAGUUCAAAUCCAAUAUAAAAAUGCUUUCAAAAGGGAACAGUAAAAUUUUAACUGGAUCCCUUCAAUGUAUGAAGGGAUCCCAGCAAUACCCAUGGUAUGAAUUUAAUGCUCUUUUUCAAAACUCUAAGCUCUGUGAUUCUGCAUAGACCAAAUUAAGAGAAGGUUAAAUUCGAUAUGCAUGAGUGGUGUUAGUCCUUGUUAGGAGUGAAUCAUUUUUGGCCUUAAGACACAACAUUUCAUGUUCAAUUCAUGUCUCAGAAAAGAAGCCGUAAUUCUAACUACUGGAAAUGAAAUAAUGAGCAUAGUUGUACUGCGAUUACAGGUGUAUCUCACAGAUAAAGAACGAUUAACAUGAAUAGCUCACAUUCCCCCCAUCUCGUGGAUGGAUAUGAGCAAGGUAGCCAUAGUCGGCUGACCCUGUGCCAUUGAUGGUGUGAGGUCAGCUGGAAAAGAAGCCCAGACCUGCAUUCUCGAGACCUCAUCACGAGCCCUCUUGGCAUAAUCAGCAUAGCACAGUGUUUUAGGUCAGAGGCACCCACCCAGGCUCUGCCCGAUCGCUGCUGUACAAUUUUAAUGAGUUACUCUAUCUCUCAAAAUCUUCUCUUCUGAGUAGCUGAUUAAAAUAGUCUUUCUGUGAGGACUGCAUUGCGAUAUGUCUGGCACACAGUGAGUGCUUGAGAAACAUUUGCUAUUAUUAUUAUUAUUAUUAUUAAUUUUAUUUACUUAUCUUGAAGCCAAAUGAACAGAUAUUUGAGAACUUUAGGAAAAAGUCAGUGUAGGAAUUCAAAGUUUCACCAGUAAUGGAAUUAUUUUUCUUCCUCAAACUGAGGCUUUUCAAAACACCAGUGAUAAGAUAGGUAAUCUCUAAAGGCUUGAAGAUUUCAGCUUUUAUUUUUGACACAUCUUGGUCCUUUUUUUUUUUCUGAGUUUUAAAAAAUACAUAUGACCAUCAGGGAAUAGGAAAGAGGAUUAGUCUUCCUAAAAAUAAUAUGGGCUUUAUAGGUCCAUUUUGUUUGACAAUUAUUUUCUAAGGCAACUGGCCUUUCCAAAAUAAAUUUACAAACUGUAUCCUUAUAAAAAAUUAGAACUUGGCAAGCCAAAAGAAUUUGGGCCAUAUCAGCUCUGUCAUUCUACAUUUUAAAAUAUUUAGCCCUACUUCAAGAUAAGUAGGAACAAUUGAACUUAAACAACCAAGAAAAAUAAACAUACAACAUCUUGAAAAUGUACAAAUAACUAGAUGGUUUUUAAAAAUGUUAUCAGAAAUGUCUUUAUUACUAAUAAGCUCUAAGUUAGACUAUGGCCAUAGAUUAUAUUUAUUUGUAAUGUUAUGGCCACACUGCCAAGGGACUGUCCACUGUGAGGACAGAUGAAACUCAGCAUUCACAGCCACUUGGAGCCGUGGCUGGAGGAACCCCAGCUGGCUGAUGUCAAAACCCUGGCAAGUCUUUGGCAUGGGGGUGGAGAGCAUGUGCUUUGGUACAAUCAGAAUGGCUCAGGGUAUGAUUUGAAGGUAUGAUUUGAAGCUAAGAUUUGAACAAUCUUAAAGGACGAUUGGAUAGUGUAUCAAACCGAGUUCUCCAGAGGAAUAAAACCAAUAGAAUGUAUAUAAUAACCACGGGGUGUGUGUGUUAUUACAUCGUUUUACAUAAAAAAGGCUGAGUAGUCUCGCUGUCUGCAAGCUGAAUGGCUGAGGGAACUUGUAGGUGUCCAGUAGAAGAAGCUAGGAGCCUCUGAUCAAGGACCAAUGAUGCAGCCCCAGUAUCGAAGCUUAAGGCCUGGGAGUGUCCUGGACAGUCACUGGUGCAAGUCUGCAUCAAAGGCUGAAGACUGGAGCCUGAUUGCCACAAAAAACUCGGCGGGCCAAAAAGAGCUGAGCAUGUGCCUGAGAGGGCGUUUCCCUUCUUCUGAGUUCUGUUCCAUCCCGGCCCCCAGCCUAUGGGUGCCUCACACAUUCAGAACUAUCUUCUCUCAAUUUGCUGACAUGCGUGCCGGUCACCUCUGGAAACACCUUCACAGGCAUACCUAGAGUGCGCUUCAUCGAUUUUCUGGUUGUGUCUCAAUCUAGUCAAGUUGAUAACAAGAUGAACCAUCACAGAUGGGCUUGUUGACUCUUCCAGGUACAACGGUUUCUUCCUUUCUGCCUCUCCACCUUCCCCUGGCACCAGUUUCCUAUGCUUGGAGAUACGAAUAAUGGGAGCCCAGUGAUCAUGAGAAAAUUCUACUGGGUUGAUGAACAACAACAGUGAAGGGCAGGAACAGUACAAAACCAGUACUGGGAGGACAACUGAGACCCAUAAUUACUCAGUGAGUUGACCUUGCCCUCCUCAGGACACCUGAUGUGCUGCUGAGCGAUAAAAUAUAUGGCUCUGGUAUCAGAUGCAAAUUCACAUCUCCCCACACUGGUAGGUUUCCUGUGAUCCUCAGGCCACGCACUCAUUGACACCCAUCUUUUUCAUUUGCAAUAUAAGUAUAUAAAAAUUAGAUUUUUGUGGGAUGAAAUGAUAGAGCUAUAACUAUUACUAUUAAUUUUUAGUCUGCAGUGUGUCAAGAACAUUAUCCUGACAUGAGUUCUCUUUAUGUACUAAUAUCUAUUUUAUUUUUUUAAAAAAUCUAUUUUAUUUCUAGUUUUCCAGUGAUCUCUGAUAAAAUCACAGGUACCACAGACCUGUGAUGCUCUAUUAAAAUCUAAACAUUUUUUUCUGAGUCAGAAAUAUUUUAAAAAAUCUCAGGAACUUCCCAUACAAGAGUUUAAUUAGGUAAACACAUCAAAGAAUAGCUUAGAUUAUUUUGUUUAUAGUCUCAAGAGAAAGUUCUAAAGGACAUACUCCUUUUAACUUUAAUACACUUUUCCAGGAUCCAUUGUUUUAUUUUGAUUUAUUCCUUAUAAGUACAUUUAAAUGACUGCUAUGAAAUGACAUUUAGGAUACAAAUAUUUUUAAUCUUAAUUUUUAAUAAUUUCUUGUCUUAAAACUCAUAAUAUUUUGAGUUCUAAUAAUAAAACUGGAAUUUUGAUUUUUACAAGUAAUAUCUCAACCAAGAAUCAUCAUAUACAAACCAAAAAAUUUUCAAGACAGUCUGGAUUGUAUUCAAAGUAACAAACAUUAUUCAAAAGUACAAAUUUCAUUCAUAUUUAUUGCAACUCUAUUCAUAACAGCUAAGAAAGGGAAGCAACUUGAGCAUCUAUCAACUGAUGAGUGAACAAGGAAAAUGGGUUAUGUAUACAUAAUGGAAUACUAUUCAUCCAUAAAGAAGGUUGAAAUCCUGUCAUUUGCAAUAUAACAUGAAUGGAAUUGUUGAUCUUUAUAUUAAGUGAAAUCAAUCAGGCACAAAAAAGACAAACAGCACAUGAUCUUGCUCAUAUGCAAAAUCUAAAUAUGUUGAUCUCAUAAAAGUUGUGAGUACAGAAUGAUACAUGUCGAAGAGAAUAGAGAGAGCACAAGGACAGGGAGAGGCUGGCCAAUGGGGAUGAAGUUGCAGUUAGACAGGAGUAAGAUAUUCUGGUGAGCUCCUGUAUGGCAGGGUAACUAGAUAACAAUAAAGUAGUGUAGAUUUUAAAAAGCUAGAAGAGAGGAUAUUGAAUAUCUGUUCCAUAAAAAUGAUAAAUGUUUGUGGAAAUGGACAUACUAACUCUGAUUUGAAUAUUAUACAAUGUAUGAAUGUAUCAAAACUUUACAUGGCUCCUCUUGAUGUGUAUAGUUUUGUAUUUCUAUCAUCAAUUAAAAAUAAAUUUCAAAAAUCCUCAAAAAUAAAUAAAUGACUCACUUGCUUGGCUGUGUUGACUUCUAUUUUCCAUAGUGACUAGAAAAAUCCAAAAGAACUGACUGAAUGUGUCAGAUAUCAUACAGACAGAAUUAGUCAAGAGAAAGUUGACUUCCUUAGAUAUACAUCUUCUCUUAUAUAGAGUCAGACCUAUCCAAAGUAAGAAGAGUGAGAUAAUACUUUAUUGUCUUUUUGUUCUUUUUAGCAUUUAAGGUAGUAGUAGUAGUUGCUGAUAUUUUCAUCGACAAAUAUAAAAUUUUUUUAGUAACUGUUUUUUUUGUCCUUGAGGCUGAACGUAUAACAGAGCCAAUCACGUUACUUCAUUCUGCAAGUGAGGGUAGUUGAUUGACAGAUGCCAUGUGGCCCAAGCUGAACUAAUCUGAAUUCUUCACUUGGCUUUGUUUUGCUGCAGCUAUCAGGGAAUACUUUCUUUCUUCCUAGGUUGAUAAGGAUGGGACUCCCAUACUUCAGGUAUUCAGUAAAUGCUUAACUUUGCCCACUGAAAGUUCAGCUCUUUGUUCACAGCUCCAAGGGUGGUGAACUCAAAACCCACAAGAUACUAUCCUUGAUAAGGAUGGCUGUAUGUAUCUGGGGUUUGAGACAGCCAGACUGUCUAUGCUAACAAUGCAAUUUUUGGUGAGGGCUUGGGCUAUGUGAUACCCCUCAAGCUAUAGAGGAGCUGGAGACAAAAGAUAGGCUCAUAAGUGAUCAAUGUGUCUACAUGGCAGACUCCUAACAAAAAAUCUGGACAACAAAACUUGGAUGAGCUUUCAUGGUUGGGAAUAUUCUGUGUGUGUUAUUACACAUCCUUGCUGAAAGAACAGUGUGCAUCCACCUAAUUUCACUAGGAAUGGGCAACUG